GCUUUGGUGGACUAGUGGUUAGAGCGUCCGCCUCGGAAGGGGGAGGUCGUGGGUUCGAACCAAACCGAAUCAUACCAAAGAC
This is a non-coding RNA of Potamilus streckersoni, 82 nucleotides long. NCBI's taxonomy places the organism in Eukaryota, Metazoa, Mollusca, Bivalvia, Unionida, Unionidae. The record is from the annotation of a GenBank genome assembly.